AGGAAAGAGGCGUCAAGGGUGCUGUGUCAAAGGAGGCUCAGUCGUGUAACACAAAGGGUACAGAGAGAAAAUAAUGUAAGAUGACUGCCGAAUAAAAGGGUUCAAGUCGUCCUAGAACUAGAGGACCCCAAACAAAGGAAGACUAGGGGUGUGCCAAGCCCUCUCUAACGUCACGAAUCCUGCGGUGUACCCUGAAUCAUGUUGUGAGAGGGAAGGUGAUAAAAAGAAACUCAAGGAAGACAGGAACCAUAGGAAGCACCUGGGAGCAUUCUGCUGCAAACAAGAAGCCAGGGGGACCAGGACAGCUAUUUCCAAAUGUACAAGGGCCGUUUCUCAAGCUGCUACUUGCAACCAGAAUAUAUUCUGCUCUAGAAGAGACAAUCCGUCUGUAGGGACACCAGCUUUGUCGGCCUUCAACAGUUACGACCAAUAGGUGCCCGAGGACCUGCCCACCAAAUGGUGCAUCAGACACUGAUCUUCCGGAGUAGUCCUUAGAGAACUGCAGUAAAGAACGAACGCAGGGGCAUUGGAUCUGGGGUUGAUAAACACAUAACCAAACGUGCUGUCUCCUGAACAAAACAACACAAGUUCAAACAGGCAAACAAAAAAACCCUAAUGAACACACAAAGAAGAUUGAUGAUUGGCAACCAAGCCAAAAAAAUUUUAAAGGCUCAGGGGCAAGCAGUAAGCAGGUGAAGUGAAGUUUUCUUUUCCUUUUUAAAAACAACAUAAAUCAAGACAAAUAAUCAAACUCAUCACGGGGUGGGGUGGUGGUGCAAUUUUUACCAUGUUCUGAGGGAAAGAUACAGGACUUUAGGAUUUUAUCCAGAGUAUUCAGUUGAAAGAUACAGUCAUGUAAUGAGAAUUUGAAGACUAUACUAUGGGAAUGUGUCACUAGAAUAUACUAUUGUAAUAUUUCACUUUAAAAGUUGUUGAUGCGCACGGCAGUGUUGGUGCACGCCUUUAAUCCCAGCACUCGGGAGGCAGAGGCAGGUGGAUCUCUGUAGGCCAGCCUGGUCUACAAAACUACAUAGAGAAACACUGUCUCAAAAACCAAACAAACAACAACAAAAAGUUGUUGAUGGGGG
RNAcentral lists this long non-coding RNA (1088 nucleotides) under Cricetulus griseus (Chinese hamster). Its description in RNAcentral is "lncRNA (ENSCGRG00015028227.2)". Lineage: Eukaryota; Metazoa; Chordata; Mammalia; Rodentia; Cricetidae. The record is from RNAcentral.